GAUGAACGCUAGCGGCAGGCCUAACACAUGCAAGUCGAGGGGCAUCGCGGUGCAGCAAUACCGUUGGUGGCGACCGGCGCGACGGGUGAGUAACGCGUAUGCAACCUACCUAUCGAGGAGGGGGACUAACCCGGCGAAAGUCGGACUAAUACCGCAUAAAACAGGGGCACCGCAUGGUGAUAUUUGUUAAAAAUUAAUUGCUGAUAGAUGGGCAUGCGUUCCAUUAGGUAGUUGGUGAGGUAAUGGCUCACCAAGCCGACGAUGGAUAGGGGAACUGAGAGGUUGGUCCCCCACACUGGUACUGAGACACGGACCAGACUCCUACGGGAGGCAGCAGUGAGGAAUAUUGGUCAAUGGGCGAGAGCCUGAACCAGCCAAGUCGCGUGAAGGAAGAAGGAUCUAUGGUUCGUAAACUUCUUUUGCAGGGGAAUAAAGUGGAGGACGUGUCCUCUUUUGUAUGUACCCUGAGAAUAAGGAUCGGCUAACUCCGUG
RNAcentral lists this ribosomal RNA (492 nucleotides) under uncultured bacterium. Its description in RNAcentral is "bacterial SSU rRNA". It matches the Rfam family "Bacterial small subunit ribosomal RNA", at positions 28 to 507 of the family's 1533-position model. The record is from RNAcentral.